Molecule: ribosomal RNA, 484 nt
Filed under: uncultured bacterium
Lineage: Bacteria
Description: partial 16S ribosomal RNA
Rfam family: Bacterial small subunit ribosomal RNA
Source: RNAcentral
AUUGAACGCUGGCGGCAUGCUUUACACAUGCAAGUCGAACGGCAGCGCUGGCUUCGGCCUGGCGGCGAGUGGCGAACGGGUGAGUAAUGCAUCGGAACGUGCCCAGUAGUGGGGGAUAGCCCGGCGAAAGCCGGAUUAAUACCGCAUACGACCUGAGGGUGAAAGCGGGGGACCGAAAGGCCUCGCGCUAUUGGAGCGGCCGAUGUCGGAUUAGCUAGUUGGUGGGGUAAAGGCUUACCAAGGCGACGAUCCGUAGCUGGUCUGAGAGGACGACCAGCCACACUGGGACUGAGACACGGCCCAGACUCCUACGGGAGGCAGCAGUGGGGAAUUUUGGACAAUGGGGGCAACCCUGAUCCAGCCAUGACGCGUGCGGGAAGAAGGCCUUCGGGUUGUAAACCGCUUUUGUUCGGGAAGAAAUCCUCUGGGCUAAUACCCCGGGGGGAUGACGGUACCGGAAGAAUAAGCACCGGCUAACUACGUG